Molecule: unclassified non-coding RNA, 201 nt
Filed under: Glomeraceae sp.
Lineage: Eukaryota; Fungi; Glomeromycota; Glomeromycetes; Glomerales; Glomeraceae
Description: partial contains 5.8S ribosomal RNA and internal transcribed spacer 2
Rfam family: 5.8S ribosomal RNA (bases 1-71)
Source: RNAcentral
GUGAAUCAUCAAAUCUUUGAACGCAAAUUGCACUCUUUGGUAUUCCGGAGAGUAUGCCUGUUUGAGGGUCAGUUUUAAUAAAAAUCGGUGUGUUGCUUCUUUGUGACGCUCCGGAGUUUGGGUUAUCUUAAUAUCUUUUAGGUUUUAAGAGGCUUAAAAUUGACUUUUUUUGCGCAUUUUAGAUGUACAUAAAUUCUUUUU